AUUUUUUUAAGAUUAGCUGGAAACCUUCCUGACGAUCUAAACUUGGUAGAUCCACAGAGGACUUCACCUUUUCCGAUCUAUUUAGCUCUCUUUGACAAAGUCCUAAGAAGAUUUGAAAAACCACAAAAAGGUAAAUCUGAUUUCACGGCUUUCUUUUUGAUCUAUCGUUGUUAAUAAAAAUCUGAUCGUUUUAAAAUUGAUUAAAAAAAAAUUCUGGAAAACAAAAGCCAAAUAACAGUGGCAAGAAAGCGUAAGAUUCUUUUGACAAAUUCUAUCUAAUGUUGAAGUUAUUAUUUGCAGCUCUAGAAUCAGUGUUUAAGUGUUGUUUUGUUAAAAAGGGUUAAUUUUUUUUUUCCUUUCAGGAAUAAUAUACUUUUGGAGAAAGUAUUAAUAUUCCAACUACAAAGAUUAUGGGUUUCAUUCUUCUAUGGAGAACAACAAGUUUUUAAAAUAAAAGAGAAGUUAUUUCCAGAUACUUUGUCUUCUUUUACAUUAAUAUAAACCCUAAUUUCCAUAUGAAUAUAGCAUGAUUAGUUUAUUAAUAUGUGUUUGAAUUUUACAUUUGACAGCUACAAUAAAUUUGGAUCCGGACAAAUACGUUGGAAGUGAACAUUUACCAUCACCAAAAGGGAGAUCAUGGUGAUACCAAAAGUUAAGUCACUAUAAAAUGGCUUUCUCAUAUUUUAUAGAUGAGCAAAUAUCAAAUUUAGACAAUUGUUGUUUCCUAAUACCAAAUUUUACAUAACACGUAUAACCAAAAAACUCACAUUUUCAUCGGAUAGCACGAUCUCAAGGGUGACUCCAUGCACUGCGUUGAACUGCUUCCAAGUAUGCAACACUUUCAUAUGCACUUUCCAAUCACUUUUGAUGGGUUUCACAUCUUUCAAAGAGGUCACUUUCAUUUUCGAAGACAUUUUAGUUUUUUUUUUGUAGUUAAUGUAGCUGUCAAUAGAUGUGAGAAAACUUUGGCACGCUAUGGGUAUUUAUAUAGCAGUAGUUUAGUC
Long non-coding RNA from Brassica rapa (field mustard), 1004 nucleotides. RefSeq lists it as uncharacterized. NCBI's taxonomy places the organism in Eukaryota, Viridiplantae, Streptophyta, Magnoliopsida, Brassicales, Brassicaceae. The record is from RefSeq and is a predicted model, not a curated record.